This 510-nucleotide ribosomal RNA is filed under the name uncultured bacterium. RNAcentral describes it as "bacterial SSU rRNA". It matches the Rfam family "Bacterial small subunit ribosomal RNA", at positions 28 to 524 of the family's 1533-position model. The record is from RNAcentral.
GACGAACGCUGGCGGUGUGCUUAACACAUGCAAGUGGUGCGACGAACCAGAGCUUGCUCUGGGGCAAAGCCGCGAACGGGUGAGUAACACGUGGGUAAUCUACCCCGAUGACCGGGACAACCCGAGGAAACUCGGGCUAAUACCGGAUGUGGUACGGAGACAUAAGUCUCUUUACUAAAGGUAGCUUCGGCUUCCGCAUUGGGAGGGGCCCGCGGCCCAUUAGCUAGUUGGUGGGGUCAAGGCCUACCAAGGCAACGAUGGGUAGCUGGUCUGAGAGGACGAUCAGCCACACUGGGACUGAGACACGGCCCAGACUCCUACGGGAGGCAGCAGUGGGGAAUCUUGCGCAAUGCGCGAAAGCGUGACGCAGCAACACCGCGUGAGGGAAGACGGCCUUAGGGUUGCAAACCUCUUUCAGAUGGGACGAAGGUGAUGCGGUGAAUAGCCGAUGUCAUUGACGGUACCGUCAGAAGAAGCUCCGGCUAACUACGUGCCAGCAGCCGCGGUAAU